UGGGGAAUCUUCCGCAAUGGACGAAAGUCUGACGGAGCAACGCCGCGUGAGUGAUGACGGCCUUCGGGUUGUAAAGCUCUGUUAAUCGGGACGAAUGGUUCUUGUGCGAAUAGUGCAAGGAUUUGACGGUACCGGAAUAGAAAGCCACGGCUAACUACGUGCCAGCAGCCGCGGUAAUACGUAGGUGGCAAGCGUUGUCCGGAAUUAUUGGGCGUAAAGCGCGCGCAGGCGGAUUGGUCAGUCUGUCUUAAAAGUUCGGGGCUUAACCCCGUGAUGGGAUGGAAACUGCCAAUCUAGAGUAUCGGAGAGGAAAGUGGAAUUCCUAGUGUAGCGGUGAAAUGCGUAGAUAUUAGGAAGAACACCAGUGGCGAAGGCGACUUUCUGGACGAAAACUGACGCUGAGGCGCGGAAGCCAGGGGAGCGAACGGG
This 429-nucleotide ribosomal RNA is filed under the name bacterium. RNAcentral describes it as "partial 16S ribosomal RNA". It matches the Rfam family "Bacterial small subunit ribosomal RNA", at positions 355 to 776 of the family's 1533-position model. The record is from RNAcentral.